AUGUUGUACUGUUAUGCCACUGUCCCAGGUUAGGGGGAGGGUUGGGAUCCCGCUACAAUGUUUAACCCCGCCACAUUAUUUAUGUAUGUGCCUGUCCCAAGUCAGGAGCCUGUAUAUUCAGUGGUUGUCGUUUGUUUAUGUGUUACAUAUUUGUUUUUCGUUCAUUUUUUUACAUAAAUAAGGCCGUUGGUUUUCUCGUUUGAAUUGUUUUACAUUGUCUUAUCGGGGCCUUUUAUAGCUGACUAUGCGGCAUGGGCUUUGCUCAUUGUUGAAGGCCGUACGGUGACCUAUAGUUGUUAAUGUCUGUGUCAUUUUGGUCUUUUGUGGAUAGUAGUCUCAUUGGCAAUCAUACCACAUCUUCUUUUUUUAUAU
Molecule: long non-coding RNA, 372 nt
Filed under: Mytilus galloprovincialis (Mediterranean mussel)
Lineage: Eukaryota; Metazoa; Mollusca; Bivalvia; Mytilida; Mytilidae
Source: RNAcentral